Molecule: ribosomal RNA, 305 nt
Filed under: uncultured bacterium
Lineage: Bacteria
Description: bacterial SSU rRNA
Rfam family: Bacterial small subunit ribosomal RNA
Source: RNAcentral
AAUACCUACGGGACGCAGCAGUGGGGGAUAUUGCACAAUGGGGGAAACCCUGAUGCAGCGACGCCGCGUGAGUGAAGAGGUAUCUCGGUAUGUAAAGCUCUAUCAGCAGGGAAGAAAGAAAUGACGGUACCUGAGUAAGAAGCCCCGGCUAACUACGUGCCAGCAGCCGCGGUAAUACGUAGGGGGCAAGCGUUAUCCGGAAUUACUGGGUGUAAAGGGAGCGUAGACGGUGAAGUAAGUCUGGAGUGAAAGGCGGGGGCCCAACCCCCGGACUGCUCUGGAAACUAUUUGACUGGAGUGCAGGG